RNAcentral lists this ribosomal RNA (462 nucleotides) under uncultured Streptococcus sp. Its description in RNAcentral is "bacterial SSU rRNA". It matches the Rfam family "Bacterial small subunit ribosomal RNA", at positions 918 to 1380 of the family's 1533-position model. Lineage: Bacteria; Bacillati; Bacillota; Bacilli; Lactobacillales; Streptococcaceae. The record is from RNAcentral.
GGACGGGCCGCACAGCGGUGGAGCAUGUGGUUAAUUCGAAGCAACGCGAAGAACCUUACCAGGUCUUGACAUCCGAUGCUAUUUCUAGAGAUAGAAGUUACUUCGGUACAUCGGUGACAGGUGGUGCAUGGUUGUCGUCAGCUCGUGUCGUGAGAUGUUGGGUUAAGUCCCGCAACGAGCGCAACCCCUAUUGUUAGUUGCCAUCAUUCAGUUGGGCACUCUAGCGAGACUGCCGGUAAUAAACCGGAGGAAGUGGGGAUGACGUCAAAUCAUCAUGCCCCUUAUGACCUGGGCUACACACGUGCUACAAUGGUUGGUACAACGAGUUGCGAGUCGGUGACGGCGAGCUAAUCUCUUAAAGCCAAUCUCAGUUCGGAUUGUAGGCUGCAACUCGCCUACAUGAAGUCGGAAUCGCUAGUAAUCGCGGAUCGGCACGCCGCGGUGAAUACGUUCCCGGGCCUU